RNAcentral lists this ribosomal RNA (253 nucleotides) under uncultured bacterium. RNAcentral describes it as "partial 16S ribosomal RNA". It matches the Rfam family "Bacterial small subunit ribosomal RNA", at positions 524 to 776 of the family's 1533-position model. The record is from RNAcentral.
UACGUAGGUGGCAAGCGUUGUCCGGAUUUAUUGGGUUUAAAGGGUGCGUAGGCGGCCCUGUAAGUCAGUGCUGAAAUACCCCGGCUUAACCGGGGGGGUGGCAUUGAUACUGCAGGGCUUGAGUACAGAUGAGGUAGGCGGAAUUGACGGUGUAGCGGUGAAAUGCAUAGAUAUCGUCAAGAACACCGAUAGCGAAGGCAGCUUACUGGGCUGUAACUGACGCUGAGGCGCGAAAGCUAGGGUAGCAAACGGG